UCCGGUUGAUCCUGCCGGACCCGACUGCUAUUUGGGUGAGAAUAAGCCAUGCGAGUCGAAUGGGAUACCUAAAUUUCCCAUGGCAAACUGCUCAUUAACACAUGAUCAACUUACCCUAUAGAGAAAAAUAACCUCGGGAAACUGAGGAUAAUAUUUCGUAGUUGAAUAGGCUUGGAAAAGUUUUUCAAUAAAAGGGAUAAAAAAAAUGGUUUUUAUCUGCUAUAGGAUAGGAUCGUGGACGAUUAUGGUUGUUGGUGAGGUAACGGCUCACCAAGCCGAUAAUCGAUAAGGGCCGUGAGAGCGGGAGCCCCGAGAUGGGUACUGAGACAACGACCCAGGCCUUACGAGGCGCAGCAGGCGCGGAACCUCCGCAAUACACGAAAGUGUGACGGGGUUACCCAAAGUGUUCAAUUCUGAACUGUGGUAGGUGAGUAAUGUUCCCUACUAGAAAGGAGAGGGCAAGGCUGGUGCCAGCCGCCGCGGUAAAACCAGCUCUUCAAGUGGUCGGGAUAAUUAUUGGGCUUAAAGUGUCCGUAGCCGGUUUAGUAAGUUCCUGGUAAAAUCGGGUAGCUUAACUAUCCGUAUGCUAGGAAUACUGCUAUACUAGAGGGCGGGAGAGGUCUGAGGUACUACAGGGGUAGGGGUGAAAUCUUAUAAUCCUUGUAGGACCACCAGUGGCGAAGGCGUCAGACUGGAACGCGCCUGACGGUGAGGGACGAAAGCCAGGGGAGCAAACCGGAUUAGAUACCCCUGUAGUCC
Molecule: ribosomal RNA, 759 nt
Filed under: uncultured archaeon
Lineage: Archaea
Description: bacterial SSU rRNA
Rfam family: Archaeal small subunit ribosomal RNA
Source: RNAcentral